Molecule: ribosomal RNA, 497 nt
Filed under: uncultured bacterium
Lineage: Bacteria
Description: partial 16S ribosomal RNA
Rfam family: Bacterial small subunit ribosomal RNA
Source: RNAcentral
GAUGAACGCUGGCGGCGUGCCUAAUACAUGCAAGUCGAGCGAACGGACGAGAAGCUUGCUUCUCUGAUGUUAGCGGCGGACGGGUGAGUAACACGUGGAUAACCUACCUAUAAGACUGCGAUAACUUCGGGAAACCGGAGCUAAUACCGGAUAAUAUUUUGAACCGCAUGGUUCAAAAGUGAAAGACGGUCUUGCUGUCACUUAUAGAUGGAUCCGCGCUGCAUUAGCUAGUUGGUAAGGUAACGGCUUACCAAGGCAACGAUGCAUAGCCGACCUGAGAGGGUGAUCGGCCACACUGGAACUGAGACACGGUCCAGACUCCUACGGGAGGCAGCAGUAGGGAAUCUUCCGCAAUGGGCGAAAGCCUGACGGAGCAACGCCGCGUGAGUGAUGAAGGUCUUCGGAUCGUAAAACUCUGUUAUUAGGGAAGAACAUAUGUGUAAGUAACUGUGCACAUCUUGACGGUACCUAAUCAGAAAGCCACGGCUAACUACGUG